RNA transcript from Phacochoerus africanus (Common warthog), 3530 nucleotides. It is a transcript of the gene named NOP2/Sun RNA methyltransferase 4, with no coding region annotated. The record is from RefSeq and is a predicted model, not a curated record. The transcript has 2 exons. Lineage: Eukaryota; Metazoa; Chordata; Mammalia; Artiodactyla; Suidae.
GUGACUGCAGCCUCUUGCCGCCGCCCCUCGAGAAACUUUUCCAGCCCUCCCACUUCCCGCACCCUGAGUUGGGCUCGCUACUCCCGCGCCUCUUGAUCGCCUUUGGCGCCUCGCCUCCUUUACUCUCGCACUUCAAGGAGCGUGACUAGGCAUCUCCGCAUCUCUCUCUCACAUCUGUUACGUCAUCGCUCCUGUCCGCCCUUUUAUUUCGUCACAAGUCUUCGGCUUUCCUUAAGUUUGCAGCCUCCUGACCCCGCCCCUCUAAGUUACGUCAUCAGCCCGCCCUCAUUCUUUUAGUUCUGUCAUCGCCUCCUGUUCCCUGGCUCGUGGUUACCAUCACCAGGGCCCCCACUAACCCUUCCACUUCCCUUCCUCCCUCUCCCCCUCCCUCCCCCUCUUUCCUACCCCCCCCCCAUGACCUGUUCUCCUCCUUUUCUGCUAGAACUUCCAGCCCGGGUGCCCUCGCCCGUCGAAAAAUGUCAUAGUGACUUACCCUUACUUCCUGGGUCUCCGCUGCCUUCCGGGAAAGGAUUCAACCCCUUCCUCACCCUUGAGCUGCCUCUGGCGCCCAGGAAAGGUUACAGCGACCACCCUCCCCGCCCUUCGCCAAACUCAGGCAAAAGGUGCAGCGACCCCUCUCCCCCCGUGGGUUCUCCCCACUUAUCCAGGGACCCUUUCUUUGGUCUCACCUGCAGCCCGGGAAUUUCUUCCAUGACCGGCCAGCCUCUCUCCCUACCCCGACGGAUUCCUUCCCCGCCCCCACCACCCACCUCCCCACCCCCACAGCCUCUCCUGCGCCCAGGAAGAUGUUCUUUUGAACCUUGUUCUCCACUCCUAGGAAGGCCCUACUGCCGGGAGCCUAACCUAUCAGGUUCGUCCCCUCCGAGUCCUUGCAUUAACCAGAUUCGCCUUGUGGGGUCACCCCCUGCCCGUCCACGAAGCCCUUAUUGCAGCUGGAUCAGUCCUCCGAGAACACCACGUCCCUGUCCCCGAGGCCCUUACCCUGACCAACAUACUUACCUCUGUUACUGUGGUGGACACCCUUCAGCCCUGGUAACCAACCCGGUGACCUCCCCUCCCCUCACUCGGAUGCCUUUGGAAACUGGCCCCAUGAUUUCAUCUUCCAUCAAUCCUGGGGCCCAGGGAACUUACCCCAUCAUUUCACCUCCUCUUACUCAUAGGCCCCUGGGAGCUGGCCUUGUAGUUACACCUCCCCUUGCUCACCGGCCCAUGGAAACUAGACCUAUAAUUUCCCCACCCCUUUCUCACAGGGUUUUGGAAUCUGGGCCCAUGACUUCCACUCUGCUUUCUUCCUGGUCCUCAAGGAGAAGUUAUAAUGGCCCUCCUCUUUCCCCAGCAUCUUCCCCACCUACUGGCAACUUUUACCAUGGCCACCUUAAGGGUCCAGACACUUGCGAACCUAAAUCACAGCUUGACCCGCCUCCUGGGAAGAGUUAUUGUGGCUCCCCACUUUCUUCUCAGGCAGGUGCAUCUGGUUGUCCCAGCUCAUCUCAGGAGGGCUCUUAUCACUAUUCCCAACUCCCCCCAGAGGCCCACAUACCUGCCCCUGGGAGCCCUUACUGUACCAUCCACCUGCCUCCUGGGAGUACUGGCUCUCCUUGCUCACCCCAGGCCCAGGUUUCCAGGAAGCCUUGCUUUGAGUCUGUUUACUCCUGGGAGACUGGUGGGAGCUCUUAUCUCUGUGUAACCCCAGGAACCACAGUUUCUGGUCCUCCUUGUCCCCAGGAACCACCUCUUCCCCUGUCCUCCCACUGUCCCUAUUCUGCCUUUUUCCCUUCACCUGCAGGCAACCAGUUUAUAUCUCCACCCCAGUCACCCCCCUGCAGAAGCUAUAAGGAACCCCCUCUUCCUACCCCAGUUUGCCCCCCAACAAAGCCCCCCAAAUCCUCAGAAUUAAAACAGCCAUGUGCUCCCCACAGAUGUCACUCCCUGGUCACCCAGCACACUUCUCCCGACCAGCCCAGGUCUCCUAAGGUCAGCACUUCUCCUCCACCUCCCUCCCGCCCUUCUGGUCCCUCUGGUCCUUCUUGUACGGUGACAUCCAUCACAACUUGCUCAAAUCCCUGCCCCAGAGAACUCCCCCACGGAACUGCCCUACCUCCUGUGGUGCCUAGAGCCCUGAGAACAGUUAUCCCCACUUCCCUUCCCCUCCGCCUUCCUUGUGGCCCUGUUUUCCCCAAUAAUUAUGUUCAGACCAGCCCCCGGCCCCCCAUAGGAGCCCCCUGUAAUACCCACGUAUAUUCUAUGGUUUCCCCCACCCCUGAUCCCUGCUUACUCUCUGGUUCCCUCAAUCAAUCCACAGGUCCCCUUCAGUGUCAUAACCAGCCCGUGGUGCCCCCCUGUGGCACCUAUAGCACUCCUAGGGGCCCACCUCAACCGCAUCGCCAGCCUGUGGCACCUCCUUGUUCUACCCAUAUCUAUUCUUUUAUCCCUUUGAGAACACCCUUUGACCCUCAAAAUUUACCCAUUGCCCCCCGAGCCCGGGGCCACUUGGAUACCAUGCCGUGUGGCCUCCAUGUCUACUCUGUGGCUUCUCGAGACUCCCGCAAGGAGUCCCUCCAGACCCCCUACAGCUGUCCUUUGUCUCCAUCCAAGAGUUCCAGCUGUAGCACUAAUGUCAGCUGUAGUUCAACUGUUGUUAUUAGUGAGUGCCAGAGUAGUGACAGCCAGAGCAAGAACUCCCACCAAAGCACAAGUUGGAGCCACAGUGAGAGUGCCCAUGACGCUAGCCCAAAUUGGAAUAGUCAGAGGAAGGGUUUCCAUCUUAGCAGAAGUCAGAGCGGAAGCAGUAAUACCCAUCAAAGUGUAAAUCAGGAUAAGAUUGAGAGUCUUCAACUUGGUGAAUAUCAGAAUCAGAGCGAAGGUACUCAAUAUAGCAAAAGUCAGGGCCCGAUCAAGAGUGCCCUUCGUAACAAAAGUCGGAGCCCGAGCAAGAGUUCCCGCCGCAGCAAAUCGCGGGACCGGAGCAAGAGUUCCAAGAGCAGCAGGAGCCAGAGCAAGAGUCCACGCCGCCGUGGCACAAGUCGGGGCCAGAGCAAGAGUCCCCACCGUGGCAGAAGUCAUGGUCGAAGCAAGAGUCCCCGCCCUAACACGACAUGAGGGCAGAGAAAGAGUUCUGAUCAAACCAAAAAUCCAGGCCAGAGCAAAAUUCAUCGUAACAGCUGCCAGCUAUAGCAUGUGUGGCAGCUGUGGCAACCAGGACCAAAUUAUGGACACCUCAGCCAAGGGCUUUCUAUUCUGUUUAAUCUACUUCUGUGCUCCUCAAGCCUGACUCAUGUCCCUCUGCAAGCCCCUUAACAGUCAUGCUAGAAGUCCCCGUUUUGGUUUGUAUCUCGAGGCUUCUGUGAGCUCGCCUCAUCCUACCUUCCAGGAGUCUGGGAACUUUCCCAGAGUGAUCCUCAGCCCCGUGAUUCUGAGCACUGUGCUGUCAGUCACUGCAUGACCUUAGGCUGCCACAGAGCCCAAAUUUCCUGCCACUCGACUGGCUUUGCAGAAUUUUGACAUGACCU